Molecule: non-coding RNA, 29 nt
Filed under: Cricetulus griseus (Chinese hamster)
Lineage: Eukaryota; Metazoa; Chordata; Mammalia; Rodentia; Cricetidae
Source: RNAcentral
GGGCUGGAGAGAUGGCUCAUCGGUUAAGA